GCAUGGUGCGGGGGUAAAAACUCCGGUGGUAUGAGAUGGACCCGCGUCUGAUUAGCUAGUUGGUAAGGUAACGGCUUACCAAGGCGACGAUCAGUAGCCGACCUGAGAGGGUGACCGGCCACAUUGGGACUGAGACACGGCCCAAACUCCUACGGGAGGCAGCAGUGGGGAAUAUUGCACAAUGGGGGAAACCCUGAUGCAGCGACGCCGCGUGAGCGAAGAAGUAUUUCGGUAUGUAAAGCUCUAUCAGCAGGGAAGAAAAUGACGGUACCUGACUAAGAAGCACCGGCUAAAUACGUGCCAGCAGCCGCGGUAAUACGUAUGGUGCAAGCGUUAUCCGGAUUUACUGGGUGUAAAGGGAGCGUAGACGGAUGGGCAAGUCUGAUGUGAAAACCCGGGGCUCAACCCCGGGACUGCAUUGGAAACUGUUCAUCUAGAGUGCUGGAGAGGUAAGUGGAAUUCCUAGUGUAGCGGUGAAAUGCGUAGAUAUUAGGAGGAACACCAGUGGCGAAGGCGGCUUACUGGACAGUAACUGACGUUGAGGCUCGAAAGCGUGGGGAGCAAACAGGAUUAGAUACCCUGGUAGUCCACGCCGUAAACGAUGACUACUAGGUGUCGGGUGGCAAAGCCAUUCGGUGCCG
RNAcentral lists this ribosomal RNA (641 nucleotides) under uncultured bacterium. RNAcentral's name for it is "bacterial SSU rRNA". It matches the Rfam family "Bacterial small subunit ribosomal RNA", at positions 188 to 848 of the family's 1533-position model. The record is from RNAcentral.